AUGUUGAGGUCCCUGAGUUUGGGAGGGCUGAGUGUACGAGUGAAAAUCAGCCUGGAGAAAAUCGGUACGAUGCUGCGGUGGGAGAAAUUCAGCGCGCUUAGCUGUCCCACUCCUCUGGCUGCUACUGUGUUAAGGACCUGGUGCCAUCUGAGAGUCUGUGCCAUUUGCAUCAUCUGGAGGGAGAGGAGAACCGGGGGCACUGCAGCUGGGGUCUUGGUGUGCCUGCAGUGGGCCGGCUGCAUGGCCUGCACCCGCACUUGCUGGACGAGUGAA
This 273-nucleotide long non-coding RNA is filed under the name Canis lupus familiaris (dog). RNAcentral describes it as "lncRNA (ENSCAFG00845007727.1)". Lineage: Eukaryota; Metazoa; Chordata; Mammalia; Carnivora; Canidae. The record is from RNAcentral.